CAACCAGCCAGGAAGAGAGCGGCAUGGGCUCUCGGGAAAUUUCCAUUUUCUCCUCACUUAGCGCUGUUAACCACCAUGCUGGGGGGUUCCUGACUCCGAGAUGCUAUCAGGGCCCCCAUGCAGUUCUCUCUGGACUCUGAGUUGGAGGUGGACAGAAUGCCAAGCUUCUCUGCCCUCCCACAAGGUCUCAGUUGUGAUCAGCUCUCCCCUGGCCUUCCUGGGCCUGGAUCCUGAGUCUAAGCCCUUCUGCUUUCCUUCCUCUGAGCAGCAGCUCCAAGACUCACUGGGAGAUGUCUCUAUCCUGCUGUCUUAGAACCAGUCCCAGCUCUUGGCCCCAACUAGUGUGGGUUAUACCCUGGCCCUUCCUAGUCCUGGUUAUCAUGUUACCUGCCUGAAAACCCAGCCCCUGGAGAACAGGUAGCCUUCCCUCUCUCCGGCAGUUCCCCUCUCCAGGCCCUGCCCUAGUGGCUGGGGCUCGAUCACCUAAAGAGCCUUCGGCUCAGGUCAUGAUCCCCAGGUCUUGGGAUGGAGUCCCUCAUCAGGCUCCUUGCUCAAUGGGGAGCCUGCUUCUCCCUCUGUCUGCUGUUCCCCCUGCUUGUGCUCCCUCGCUCUCUGACAAAUAAAUAAAAUAUUAAAAAAAAAAAACACCUUUUUAUUCAGAACUGCUUCCCGCCCAGGCCCUAUUCUA
This 688-nucleotide long non-coding RNA is filed under the name Mustela putorius furo (domestic ferret). RNAcentral describes it as "lncRNA (ENSMPUG00000028566.1)". The record is from RNAcentral. Lineage: Eukaryota; Metazoa; Chordata; Mammalia; Carnivora; Mustelidae.